GCUGGGCGCAGUGGCACGUGCCUGUACUCCCAGCUACUCGGGAGGCUGAGGUGGGAGGAUCGCUUGAGCCCAGGAGUUCUGGGCUGUAGUGCGCUAUGCUGAUUGGGUGUCCACACUAAGUUCGGCAUCAAUAUGGUGACCUCACUGGAGCUGGGGACCGCCAGGUUGCAGUGAAGCGGCCCAUGUCGGAAACGGAGCAGGUCAAAACUCCCAUGCUGAUCAGUAGUGGGAUUGCACCUGUGAAUAGCCACUGCACUCCAGCCUGGGCAACAUAACGAGACCCCAUCUCUA
Callithrix jacchus (white-tufted-ear marmoset) is the source of this 291-nucleotide unclassified non-coding RNA. It matches the Rfam family "Metazoan signal recognition particle RNA". Rfam says of the family: The signal recognition particle (SRP) is a universally conserved ribonucleoprotein. Lineage: Eukaryota; Metazoa; Chordata; Mammalia; Primates; Cebidae. The record is from Ensembl.